CUAAUACAUGCAAGUCGAGCGCGGGAAGCAGAAAGAUUCCUUCGGGAUGACAUCUGUGGAACGAGCGGCGGAUGGGUGAGUAACACGUGGGCAACCUGCCUGUAAGACUGGGAUAACUCCGGGAAACCGGGGCUAAUACCGGAUAAGACUUUAUCUCGCAUGAGAUAGAGAUGAAAGAUGGCUUUUAGCUAUCACUUACAGAUGGGCCUGCGGCGCAUUAGCUAGUUGGUGGGGUAAUGGCCUACCAAAGCGACGAUGCGUAGCCGACCUGAGAGGGUGAUCGGCCACACUGGGACUGAGACACGGCCCAGACUCCUACGGGAGGCAGCAGUAGGGAAUCUUCCGCAAUGGACGCAAGUCUGACGGAGCAACGCCGCGUGAGUGAUGAAUGUCUUCGGAUUGUAAAACUCUGUUGUUAGGGAAGAACAAGUACCGUUCGAAUAGGUCGGUACCUUGACGGUACCUAACCAGAAAGCCCCGGCUAACUACGUGCCAGCAGCCGCGGUAAUACGUAGGGGGCGAGCGUUGUCCGGAAUUAUUGGGCGUAAAGGGCGCGUAGGCGGUCUCUUAAGUCUGAUGUGAAAGCCCCCGGCUUAACCGGGGAGGGUCAUUGGAAACUGGGAGACUUGAGUGCAGGAGAGGGAAGCGGAAUUCCAUGUGUAGCGGUGAAAUGCGUAGAGAUAUGGAGGAACACCCAGUGGCGAAGGCGG
Molecule: ribosomal RNA, 710 nt
Filed under: uncultured bacterium
Lineage: Bacteria
Description: bacterial SSU rRNA
Rfam family: Bacterial small subunit ribosomal RNA
Source: RNAcentral